CUUGUUGUUCCUCAUACAUAACAAGGCAUACAGCUCCCACAUCUGCGUCUUUGACUGACUGGUCUCCAUGCUUUACAUUCCAGGUGAAAGAGAGGGAAAGGGAAGAGAGAAGAAUAAGCAUUUAUUAUGUGCCUACUAUGUGCCAAGGCUCCAUGUCAAACACUUACUUCUGGUGGCUCCUUUGUGA
Molecule: long non-coding RNA, 187 nt
Filed under: Monodelphis domestica (gray short-tailed opossum)
Lineage: Eukaryota; Metazoa; Chordata; Mammalia; Didelphimorphia; Didelphidae
Description: lncRNA (ENSMODG00000050520.1)
Source: RNAcentral